Long non-coding RNA from Astatotilapia calliptera (eastern happy), 4245 nucleotides. NCBI's taxonomy places the organism in Eukaryota, Metazoa, Chordata, Actinopteri, Cichliformes, Cichlidae. The record is from Ensembl.
GUUAGAUGGCACUGUAACGCUAUCGUCUGUGCAUGAACGCUAAUUCACGAUUAAACACAGAAGAAGAAUCCUUGCGUUAUGAUUGGUGUAAACCAUCCAAUGAGCGUGAAGGAAACUGACAUUUUGAACUAGACAGGCGCUUCGUUGGUUAACAAGAUAAACGUUUCAGAGUUUAUGCUGAUAUUUAUUUUGUAGUAUCCGUGUUUGUCUUAUCAAACCAGAAUCUCGUUGAGACUAAAACAGUUUCACAUCUAUAAACAUCCGCUAAGAAGUUCGUGUUUACAGGCACAGGGAGUCUGAGACAGCUGAUAAUAUGUGUGGAGUCUGAGUAUUGCCCUCUGUUUUAAAUAAGAAGCCCUUCAUUUAUUCUGUGCGAGAAGAAGCAUCACCAUCCAUGGCCAACAAACCAACUGGGCGAGGCUUAUACAUUCGGGAAAAUCCAGAUGCCGAUGAGUGCUGUGAAAACAUUCCACCCGGGGGCACUGUUAAAGCUGGGACUUCUAAACUCAAAUGGCCCCAUGAAGAAAACAAGCCUCUUCCUGACACCUGCACCUUUUCAACCCCUGCUCCAACAGGCAGCAAGCCAAAGUCACGGAUUUCUUUCCAGUCUGCUCUGACACCAAUUUUAAAAUACUUAAAUAUCGGCAACAAAUCUCCAGAAAGUUCAACACAUGAAAAUAAUCGUCGUCAGACACUUUCUCUUUUCUCCUUUGGUGCAGCCACAGCAGAUUGUCAAAAAUCAACAAAAGGUUCUGUCCAACAGUUAAACUCAGAUCCCCCUAGUAGCUAUUCUGGGCAAUUAUUCAGUGACAUGGAUGGUCCUGUGUCCUUUCUAGGUGACGAAUGCUUGCCAGAAGUGACCCUAUUUGAUUCUAUGUGUGAUUCUACCAUACAGCUUACUAGAAAUGACUCCCCUGCUCCUGACAGCGCACCUGCAACUUCUGCAAGCACAAGCCCUAAAAUAAAUAUUCCUGAAAUUCAUCCUCCUGAUCUUUCACAACAUAUGGCAACAACAGAGAUUACAGACCCAGAUGUCAAAAUGAUUGAUGCCUCUCAGAACAAGCAUGCUCCAGUCCCCUGGCUGAUACUUGACAAAUUCUUGCCAGAAAUUACUCUCCUUGAUGUUACACGUGAUUCACCAUUAUCAUCAGGAGAACAGACCACCUCCAUGGAUGUGACUCAGGCUCUUCCUCCGCUUGAUUUGAAACGCGACAGGUCUUUUAAUGGAAUGGAAAGUGGAAAAAUCGCGGCACAGCCUAGCAGUUCAGAUGUCAUCUCGGGCGAAAAAUUGCUAAGUACAAGUGUACAAUCCGACAAGUGUGUGGGGGAAAGCACAGCAAAAACCUCUUUGGAUAUUACUAUGGGAAAUGUUUUGGAAAAUAGCAAGUCUUCAUCAGAGCCCAGUGAAUGUAAUAUAGAGACGAGUCAAGCAUCGGCAGGGGAUACACUUGGGAAAAAUCCUGCUAAUGUUACUCGAGAAAUAAUAUCUUCUAGUGACAUACCUGCAGACUCUAAUGUGGAGUGCAGUGCUAAUCAAAAAGUUACCUCAGAGAUCCGGGAAGAGCCUGUGGAGUUUUCUGAUAAACCUGAAGCUAUCAUUAAAGACCUGAUUGCCAGCCAUGAAGCAAAGUCAGCCAACGAGCCCAGUGGACAAAAUAUGAAGAUGAGCUCAACAUCACCUGAUGAUACAUUCAGCAGUCAACCAGCUAAUGUUACACAUGACACAACCUCGUCCAAUGACACGUCAGCUCAGAGUGUAAGGUCUACAUCGAAUAGGGAGUGUAGUAGUAGUCAAAAGGACGCCCCCUCAGAACUUGUGGAAUCUUGUCACAAAGUAAACGAUGAGUUGAAAAACUAUGCGACACAGCCAAACCCAAAAGCAUCAAACUCCGGGAAUGGAACAUUUAAUGUCGUGCAGGCCGCUGAUCUGAGCGUGUCUAAUGAUUUAAAUACUACUGCUUCAGUUUCCCACUUUCAGAAUAAGACACUUGAUCUUCCUCCAUUUAAUGUAAGCUGCACCAAAGAUGGGACUUCAGGUCAGGCAGGUUUUGGCACCACUGAAACAUCCCCCAUCACAAAUCAAAAUUGCUCAUCUUUAAAGGAAUGUGCUCCAUUUGCUGUGCAGAACGCCACCUUUGAAAAGCAUUCUCUGCAUAAAAGCAGUGGCAGCACAGUAUUAGGGGAAGACCUCAAGAACAACACCUUUGAUUCUCAACCACCUUCCAAGAAGAGCGACACAAUAACUUUGUUGGAAACGGUCCAGAGUGAAAGUAGCCAAAUUUCUUCAAAGCCUAAUAGCACAAAAACUCUGACAGAAAUGAGCUCAUGUGACGGUCACCAAAGUGCUUCCAAGCCAAAUGGAACAAUAACUUUAUCAGAGGUGAACCCGAGUGACGAUCACCACAAUACCUCCAGGCCCAAUGGCACCAUAACUUUGUCAGAAACAAGCUCAUGCAACAUCCGCCCGGGGUCUUCAGACAAGCCCUCCACACCUGAAGUCAGUAAUCUAACCACCAGCCCUAAAGACAACAAUAUUGACAUUGCCCCUGAUCUAUCAAAGCAUAAUGUUACGACAGAUGCUAAGGACCAUAGUGGCAAGGAGGUUGAAACCCAUGAUGACGCUUCUGGCAGUGGUAGCUGUGAGACUAAAGAUCUUUCAGGUCUGCCUGUGGUGGGCGGGCUCUCCGAUUCUUUAAACCGUCAAAGCUUUGGUACAGUGAACCUCAAAGCCAAGUGUUUCAAUUUGGAUGACACCCUGGAUUUAAAGGCAGACUGUUUGAUUACUUCAACACCAAUGACUAAAUGUACAAUGUUCAACUUGAACACUGAGCAAGUUGAGGGCUUACACCUAGCAGUACAGAAGAAGCUGUACACAGAUGGUCCCAGGAAGCCAGCUGAUCAGGUGCCAUCAGACCCAUCAAACCUUGUCUGUGACCGUAAAACAAUCUUGAAACAGCCAGCUGCUAAAUCCCUUUGCCCUCCCCCAAAAGCUGGAGCUCAGCUGAUGAAAUCAAAGUCACAUUCCUCAAUUCCAGCCAGGUUGAAUACAGUGGCAUCCAACUUACCUACGAAAAGACAAAGAACCCAAGCUGAAGCUUCAAGAAACACUGCUGCCACUGCCCCUGAUGCACCCCAGGGGACCACAGGAGUAACAUCCUGCUACAACCUGCGUGCUACAGCAACAGGAUCCAAGCUGCCCGCUUGUGGCUCACAAAGAUCGCAGUUUAGUGGAAUCCCAUCAGGGAUCCAGAGAGCUACUAUGUGUCUUAGGCCACCUUUAACAAGAAGCAGUACAGCAAUUUCUUCAAGUACCGACAAGCUCUGUGGACCUACAGCAACUAACCCUGUGACCAAGACUUCACAAGCAAAGAAGCACCCUCUAACCAGAGCUGACAGUUUGCUAGUGUCAAAGAGGAAGAAAAUGGAUGCUUCUGAUCCAUGCAAUAGUGUCGGAGCUCCAGUAUCUGCCAGUGAUGCUACAAACAAAGCGACAAUCCUCAAGCAGCCCAGUAAGAGAGCUUUGCCUGCCAAAGCUCAAGGAGAAGGUUGCGCAAAAUGUGCUGAGCUUGAAGAACAACUUAAACUGAUAUCAGAAGAAAACACAAGGCUGAAAGAAGAGUUGCUGAAAUACACUAAACAAGAUGUCCCAGUGAAACCCCGGUGUUAAUACUUUAAAGCAUAUCUGCUGUUUUUAAAUGUUAAUAAUUACGUAAAAUAAUUUACUCACUAAAGUAGAAAUGUUUUUUGUUUUUUUCUAUUUUGCAGUGAGGAUGAGAUUUUGUCUGUUUGUGUGUUUAACAUUACACUGUUUAUUUUCAACUCUAAUAAAUUUAAUAAUAUGUGUUGGUCUUUCAUUUGGUUGGUCUAACACUUUGGAGAGUGCUCUGCUGGGAGGACACAUUUGAACACCUUUUUUUCAGUAUUUGGAAAUUUCAGUCUUUGCGAUUUAGAAUUACUGUACUCAAAUACUGAUACUCAUUGUCAAGCUGCCGGGUAUAAAUAAAACAUCAGCAUAUUCAACACGCAUAGCUACUGGCAUUCCACCACUGAAAUUAAAUAUUGUAUAAUAGAUUAAUAUUCUAUUGUUAAAAAUAUUGAAUUUCCAGUGAAACCCUGUGACUUUGGAUAUCUUUAUCUCAGGUUAUUCAACACACUGGUAUAUCUCUAUAAAUACAAGAAUACGGUGUAGGCAAAUAUUUACCAUGCACUGCGACUUAAAAGCAAGGUUUUCCAAUACAAUAUUAU